This 253-nucleotide ribosomal RNA is filed under the name uncultured bacterium. RNAcentral describes it as "partial 16S ribosomal RNA". It matches the Rfam family "Bacterial small subunit ribosomal RNA", at positions 524 to 776 of the family's 1533-position model. The record is from RNAcentral.
CACGUAGGGCGCAAGCGUUGUCCGGAAUUAUUGGGCGUAAAGAGCUCGUAGGCGGUCUGUUGCGUCCGCUGUGAAAACUCGGGGCUUAACCCCGAGCCUGCGGUGGAUACGGGCAGACUAGAGGUAGGUAGGGGAGAAUGGAAUUCAUGGUGUAGCAGUGAAAUGCGUAGAUAUCAUGAGGAAGACCGGUGGCGAAGGCGGAUCUCUGGACAGUUCCUGACACUGAGGCACGAAGGCUAGGGGAGCAAACGGG